CAGCAGCCGCGGUAAUACCGGCGGCCCGAGUGGCGGUCACUAUUAUUGGGCUUAAAGCGUCCGUAGCCGGGUUGGGAAGUCCUCCGGGAAAUCUGGCCGCUUAAAGGUCAGAAUGCCGGAGGAUACUCCCAGCCUAGGGAGCGGGAGAGGCCGAGGGGAUUCCCGGAGGAGGGGGGAAAUCCUAUAAUCCCGGGAGGGCCACCUGUGGCGAAGGCGCUCGGCUGGAACGCGUCCGACGGUGAGGGACGAAGGCCAGGGGAGCAAACCGGAUUAGAUACCCGGGUAGUCCUGGCUGUAAACGAUGCGGACUUUGUGUCGGACAAGCUAUGAGCUUGUCCGGUGCCGGAGGGAAACCGUUAAGUCCGCCGCCUGGGGAGUACGGCCGCAAGGCUGAAACUUAAAGGAAUUGGCGGG
Molecule: ribosomal RNA, 414 nt
Filed under: uncultured microorganism
Description: bacterial SSU rRNA
Rfam family: Archaeal small subunit ribosomal RNA
Source: RNAcentral